GCAGACUGACUCCGGAUCAAAAGCUGGAAUCCAGACAUCUCUCCCCUUGUGCAACCCAGACAUACUACUGGAUUAAAAAGAAAAGGUCACCACCAACAUCCUCCAGGAUAUUCCAACAAGUGGUUGCCUAGUUUACAAACUAGACAGCAAACUUUGCAUUGCAGUAUGAAAACAAGAUCCCACUUUGCAAAAUAGAGAACAUGGCCCCUUCAAAUCUUUGUCCUAAAGGGAGGAGGUGCUGAUUGUUCCAGAAGAGGAAGUGCUUUUUUGGGGAAGGCCCUCACAAAAUGAAGCAGCCGAGAACCUGUCCAAAGCCAGGGAGGGACAG
Molecule: long non-coding RNA, 328 nt
Organism: Malaclemys terrapin pileata
Lineage: Eukaryota; Metazoa; Chordata; Testudines; Emydidae
Exons: 3
Source: RefSeq, a predicted model, not a curated record